GAUGAACGCUGGCGGCGUGCCUAAUACAUGCAAGUCGAGCGAACAGACGAGGAGCUUGCUCCUCUGACGUUAGCGGCGGACGGGUGAGUAACACGUGGAUAACCUACCUAUAAGACUGGGAUAACUUCGGGAAACCGGAGCUAAUACCGGAUAAUAUAUUGAACCGCAUGGUUCAAUAGUGAAAUACGGUUUUGCUGUCACUUAUAGAUGGAUCCGCGCCGCAUUAGCUAGUUGGUAAGGUAACGGCUUACCAAGGCAACGAUGCGUAGCCGACCUGAGAGGGUGGUAGGCCACACUGGAAGUGAGACAGGGACCAGACUCCUACGGGAGGCAGCAGUAGGGAAUCUUCCGCAAUGGGGGAGAGCCUGACGGAGCAACGCCGCGUGAGUGAUGAAGGUCUCCGGAUCGGAAAACUCUGUUAUUAGGGAAGAACAAAUGUGUAAGUAACUAUGCACGUAUUGACGGUACCGAAUCAGAAAGCCACGGCUAACUACGUG
Molecule: ribosomal RNA, 497 nt
Filed under: uncultured bacterium
Lineage: Bacteria
Description: partial 16S ribosomal RNA
Rfam family: Bacterial small subunit ribosomal RNA
Source: RNAcentral